RNAcentral lists this ribosomal RNA (650 nucleotides) under uncultured bacterium. RNAcentral describes it as "bacterial SSU rRNA". It matches the Rfam family "Bacterial small subunit ribosomal RNA", at positions 737 to 1387 of the family's 1533-position model. The record is from RNAcentral.
UAACUGACGCUGAGACACGAAAGCGUGGGUAGCAAACAGGAUUAGAUACCCUGGUAGUCCACGCCCUAAACGAUGCAUAUUUGGUGUGGGUCAUUCAGUUGAUCCGUGCCGGAGCUAACGCGUUAAAUAUGCCGCCCGGGGAGUACAGUCGCAAGGCUGAAACUCAAAGGAAUUGACGGGGGCCCGCACAAGCGGUGGAGCAUGUGGUUCAAUUCGACGCAACGCGAAGAACCUUACCUGGGCUCGAACGGCUUCCUAACGCCGGUGGAAACACCGGUAUCCCGCAAGGGAGUGGAGUCGAGGUGCUGCAUGGCUGUCGUCAGCUCGUGUCGUGAGAUGUUGGGUUAAGUCCCGCAACGAGCGCAACCCUUGUCCUGUGUUGCCAUCAUUCAGUUGGGAACUCGCAGGAGACCGCCAGCGAUAAGCUGGAGGAAGGUGGGGAUGACGUCAAGUCCUCAUGGCCUUUAUGUCCAGGGCUACACACGUGCUACAAUGGACGGUACAAUACGUCGCUAACCCGCGAGGGGGAGCCAAUCGCUAAAAACCGUUCUCAGUUCGGAUUGCAGGCUGCAACUCGCCUGCAUGAAGCUGGAAUCGCUAGUAAUGGCAGAUCAGCACGCUGCCGUGAAUACGUUCCCGGGCCUUGUACA